This 1406-nucleotide long non-coding RNA is filed under the name Equus caballus (horse). Its description in RNAcentral is "lncRNA (ENSECAG00000059255.1)". The record is from RNAcentral. Lineage: Eukaryota; Metazoa; Chordata; Mammalia; Perissodactyla; Equidae.
CACAAAAGCAGGACAGUCAGACUUUUGUGGCCAAGAUCUCCUCACCUCCUUGGUUCCCAAACCCCCUGGGUGUCAGUCCACCCACCCCAUGAGUGCUCCUGGGGGUGGAAAACUCCAGGGCCCUGGGAGAAUUUCAGGAGAAAGAAGGCGUUUAGGGCAGAGUGAAUUACACUUUUAAGAACAAGAGGGCACCGUGCCCUCAGAUGAAAAUUGUUUCAUAGAUUGCAAACAAUUCCUGUAAUGCCUGGGUUUGACCUCCUGUAACUUUGUCUCCCAACUAUAUGGAAACCAUAUGCAGCCGUUAGUCUUUCUAAAGAUUAACUUCUUGAAGUGACCAGGCCAUGACUCAUGACCCAACCCCACCCCUCAGUCUGCUGUGACUCAUCGAAGAAGCCAGAUAAACUGAACGCUGAACGACAGCAAUGGGAGAGGCUAGCCUGCUGGAGGAUGACAGUCAUAUACAGCAGAGCCAAGCCAUCCAGGCUGAGGCCAUCCGAGACCAUCCAGACCCCAGCCCACCUGCAAGUUGACUACAGACAAUGAGUGAGCCCAGCUGAAAUUGGCCAACUGUGGUCCAAGUUAUUAGAACUCCUCAACUGAUCUGCAGCCUCAUGAGAAAAACAAAUAACAAAAUUGCUGUAUUAAGCUGCUAAAAUUUGUGAUACUUUGUUAGUUUGGCAGUAGAUGACUGACAUACUACCCUUAUGCAUUUUAACUCAACUAUCUGGGCUGACGUUUUUUGAUUAAGAGAACUCAUGCCAUAUGUUUCAGGAGACCAUAUUUCUAAACGUUGAGUCCUCUCAGUUCUCAAUAUGUUAUUGCUUAAAGGCCCUUCAAAGUUGGAGAAAGUUAAGCUCUUAAAGUAUGUCACUUGAAUUUGUUAAGAGGAAAUUUUACCCCUAUCUUGCUGUAAUAGGUUAUCAGACCUAGAUGAGAUCAGGGCCAGAACCAUUGUAUUAGUUUGCCAGAGCUGCAAAGUAUGAAAUGUCACAGACUGGGUGGCUGAAACAGCAGAAACUCAUUUUCUCACGAUUCUGGAACUAGAAGUCCAAGGGCAAGGUGGCAGCGGGGUUGCUUUCUUCUGAGGCCUCUCUCCUUGGCUUGCAGGUGACUGUCUUCUCCCUGUGUCUUCACGUGAUUUUUCUUCUGUGCAUGUCUGUGUCCUAAUUUCUUCUUUUUAUAAAGACACCAGUCAUAUUGGAUCAGGGCCCGUCCUAAUGACCUUGUUUUAACUUAAUUACCUCAUUAAAGACCAUGUCUCCAAAUACAGUCGCAUUCUGAGAUACCAGGGGUUAGGACUUCAACACAUAAAUCUGGAGGGACGCAAUUCAGUCCAUGAGACCCAUUUAUGUGCUGUCUGUUGUUAUGUUCCUAAAACACAGCUCUGAUUAUAUUACUACCUUGUU